CCUCAAAUCAGGUAGGACUACCCGCUGAACUUAAGCAUAUCAAUAAGCGGAGGAAAAGAAACUAACAAGGAUUCCCCUAGUAACUGCGAGUGAAGAGGGAAAAGCUCAAAUUUAAAAUCUGGCAGUUCUUUGGGCUGUCCGAGUUGUAAAUUGGAGAAGUGUUAUCCGCGCUGGCCUGUGCAAAAGUCUCUUGGAAAAGAGCAUCAUAGAGGGUGACAAUCCCGUCUUUGGCACAGACUACCAGGGCUUUUGUGAUGCGCUCUCAACGAGUCGAGUUGUUUGGGAAUGCAGCUCUAAAUGGGUGGUAAAUUCCAUCUAAAGCUAAAUAUUGGCGAGAAACCGAUAGCGCACAAGUACCGUGAGGGAAAGAUGAAAAGAACUUUGAAAAGAGAGUUAAACAGUACGUGAAAUUGUUGAAAGGGAAACGCUUGAAGUCAGUCGCGUCCUUCAGAAAUCAACCUGACCUUGGUCUGGCUUACUUUCUGGUGGAUGGGUCAGCAUCAAUUUUGAUCAUUGGAUAAAGGCCUUGGGAAAGUGGCAUCUCCAGAUGUGUUAUAGCCUUUGGUUCAUAUACAGUGGUUGGGAUUGAGGAACUCAGUGUGAACUUGGGGCUUUUGGCCUACAACACGCACUUAGGAUGCUGGCAUAAU
RNAcentral lists this ribosomal RNA (650 nucleotides) under uncultured Basidiomycota. Its description in RNAcentral is "LSU rRNA". It matches the Rfam family "Eukaryotic large subunit ribosomal RNA", at positions 1 to 635 of the family's 3401-position model. The record is from RNAcentral. Lineage: Eukaryota; Fungi; Basidiomycota.